UAACUGGAGAGUUUGAUCCUGGCUCAGGACGAACGCUGGCGGCGUGCUUAACACAUGCAAGUCGAACGGACUGAUUAAGAAGAAUCCUUCGGGAGGACACUUAAGAAGUUAGUGGCGGACGGGUGAGUAACGCGUGGGUAACCUACCCAUUAAACCGGGACAACUCCGGGAAACUGGAGCUAAUACCGGAUAAGCUUACACUAUGGCAUCAUAGAGUAAGAAAAGGAGGCCUCUCUGUAGAAGCUUCCGAUAAUGGAUGGACCCGCGUCCCAUUAGCUAGUUGGUGAGGUAACGGCUCACCAAGGCGACGAUGGGUAGCCGGCCUGAGAGGGUGAACGGCCACACUGGGACUGAGACACGGCCCAGACUCCUACGGGAGGCAGCAG
Non-coding RNA from Desulfitibacter sp. BRH_c19, 386 nucleotides. NCBI's taxonomy places the organism in Bacteria, Bacillati, Bacillota, Clostridia, Neomoorellales, Desulfitibacteraceae. The record is from Rfam.